AAGUCGUAACAAGGUUUCCUUCAUAGUUCACCUUCUGAAGCCUUGAAUCCCCCAGUCUGCACUUGCGGGCAACACCAGUCUGUUGCGUGGAAUUCUCUUUCCAGAGAUACCAGCAGUCACAUAUGUGAUUCACAGAUCAAACACUGGUGGUACACACGUUGUAUUCAGAUAUGACCGGUCCUUCUCUGGCUAAAGGAGAAUUGGGUACGACGUUCCGUAGGUGAACCUGCGGAAGGAUCAUUACCGAGUUAGGGUCUUACAGGCCCGACCUCCAACCCUGUGUCUAAAUUACCAUGUUGCUUUGGCGGGCCCGCCUCUCGGGGCCGCCGGGGGCUUUAAUGCCUCUGGCCAGUGCUCACCAGGAGCCUUAUUAAAUUCUUUAUAGCUGUGAUGUCUGAGUUUAAAUAUAAAUCGUUAAAA
RNAcentral lists this unclassified non-coding RNA (420 nucleotides) under plant metagenome. RNAcentral describes it as "partial contains small subunit ribosomal RNA and internal transcribed spacer 1". The record is from RNAcentral.